RNAcentral lists this ribosomal RNA (255 nucleotides) under uncultured bacterium. RNAcentral's name for it is "partial 16S ribosomal RNA". It matches the Rfam family "Bacterial small subunit ribosomal RNA", at positions 1245 to 1500 of the family's 1533-position model. The record is from RNAcentral.
AGAGGCAAUACCGCGAGGUGGAGCAAAUCUCAAAAAGCCGUCCCAAUUCGGAUUGCAGGCUGCAACCCGCCUGCAUGAAGUUGGAAUCGCUAGUAAUCGCGGAUCAGCAUGCCGCGGUGAAUACGUUCCCGGGCCUUGUACACACCGCCCGUCACACCAUGAGAGUCGGGAACACCCGAAGUCCGUAGCCUAACCGCAAGGGGGGCGCGGCCGAAGGUGGGUUCGAUAAUUGGGGUGAAGUCGUAACAAGGUAAC